GGGUUCCCUAGUACUAGACAAAUAUGUACCGGGGGAACCCUGGAAACCGUACCACAUUUAUAACCCGCUAUCGGGUCAACACAUUGUGAUCCACCAAACUAACCGAGACCCGUUGAUUCCAUCGGGUAGUGCUCUAGGCUUGUCCAAACAAUUUGAAUUGAAAUUGUUGAGAUUUCUUUGUAAACCAGGUAAUUUUGGAAAGGGAGAGGUAGAUAUUCAAACAAUUGGCACAAAUUUGUGGAGGAAUUUAGGGGAAUCGCCUCGUUAUCUAGAGAAAUAUAGGUCUGCCCCAUUUGUGAAUGGAGUUUAUCAUUGGAUCAACCUAAG
This 327-nucleotide long non-coding RNA is filed under the name Panax ginseng (ginseng). RNAcentral's name for it is "long non-coding RNA (PGIN_LNC015271)". Lineage: Eukaryota; Viridiplantae; Streptophyta; Magnoliopsida; Apiales; Araliaceae. The record is from RNAcentral.